UCUUCUUUUUAUUUUUUCCGGUGGUUAUGAGUUGGCGAAGCAGCCCAACACGGCGCCAUUCUCAAUGUGGACGUAAUUAAUCUUAUCAACCAGCAAAAUUAUCUUUCUUUUUGCUCUGGUGUCCACCCUCGCAUUCAUUCCGGUUGUAGGAUAAAUUCCUUUGACGGUAUCCCAGAAUUCUUCGUUCUGAUGAAGGUUCUUCAUGGCAAAAGCCCAUGAUGCAUAAUUCUCUCUGCAAAGAAAUUUUUCCAAACUGAAAUUUAUAAGUUUAGCCAUUUUAAAACAUUAAUAUAACUCCGACACUUUUAAAACAGUUCAAUUAAUUUCAUUGGGCACACUCUGGGCCCAUUACCUGUUGUGAUGGUGUAAUAAAAAUUCUAUGAAAUUAUUGAAUAUAUAAAGUGUAUUUUAA
This is a long non-coding RNA of Lucilia sericata (common green bottle fly), 412 nucleotides long. RefSeq lists it as uncharacterized. The transcript has 2 exons. Lineage: Eukaryota; Metazoa; Arthropoda; Insecta; Diptera; Calliphoridae. The record is from RefSeq and is a predicted model, not a curated record.